CACGUAGGGGGCAAGCGUUGUCCGGAUUUAUUGGGCGUAAAGAGCUCGUAGGUGGCUUAGUAAGUCGGGUGUGAAACCUCCAGGCUCAACCUGGAGACGCCACCCGAUACUGCUAUAGCUUGAGUCCGGUAGGGGAGCGUGGAAUUCCUGGUGUAGCGGUGAAAUGCGCAGAUAUCAGGAGAACACCGGUGGCGAAGGCGGGUCUCUGGGCAGUAACUGACGCUGAGGAGCGAAAGCGUGGGGAGCGAACAGG
This 253-nucleotide ribosomal RNA is filed under the name uncultured bacterium. Its description in RNAcentral is "partial 16S ribosomal RNA". It matches the Rfam family "Bacterial small subunit ribosomal RNA", at positions 524 to 776 of the family's 1533-position model. The record is from RNAcentral.